GAAAUCUUAGUUUAUUAAAAAUACGAUCUUUGUAAGUUCGAGAAUUUAGAUUUCUGAUUUAAUAAUAGUCC
Molecule: transfer RNA, 71 nt
Filed under: Tigriopus californicus
Lineage: Eukaryota; Metazoa; Arthropoda; Copepoda; Harpacticoida; Harpacticidae
Description: tRNA-Thr
Source: RNAcentral